GGGACACGUGGUAUCCUGUCUGAAUAUGGGGGGACCAUCCUCCAAGGCUAAAUACUCCUGACUGACCGAUAGUGAACCAGUACCGUGAGGGAAAGGCGAAAAGAACCCCGGCGAGGGGAGUGAAAAAGAACCUGAAACCGUGUACGUACAAGCAGUGGGAGCCUCUUAAUGGGGUGACUGCGUACCUUUUGUAUAAUGGGUCAGCGACUUAUAUUCUGUAGCAAGGUUAACCGAAUAGGGGAGCCGAAGGGAAACCGAGUCUUAACUGGGCGUUAAGUUGCAGGGUAUAGACCCGAAACCCGGUGAUCUAGCCAUGGGCAGGUUGAAGGUUGGGUAACACUAACUGGAGGACCGAACCGACUAAUGUUGAAAAAUUAGCGGAUGACUUGUGGCUGGGGGUGAAAGGCCAAUCAAACCGGGAGAUAGCUGGUUCUCCCCGAAAGCUAUUUAGGUAGCGCCUCGUGAAUUCAUCUCCGGGGGUAGAGCACUGUUUCGGCAAGGGGGUCAUCCCGACUUACCAACCCGAUGCAAACUGCGAAUACCGGAGAAUGUUAUCACGGGAGACACACGGCGGGUGCUAACGUCCGUCGUGAAGAGGGAAACAACCCAGACCGCCAGCUAAGGUCCCAAAGUCAUGGUUAAGUGGGAAACGAUGUGGGAAGGCCCAGACAGCCAGGAUGUUGGCUUAGAAGCAGCCAUCAUUUAAAGAAAGCGUAAUAGCUCACUGGUCGAGUCGGCCUGCGCGGAAGAUGUAACGGGGCUAAACCAUGCACCGAAGCUGCGGCAGCGACACUAUGUGUUGUUGGGUAGGGGAGCGUUCUGUAAGCCUGUGAAGGUGGCCUGUGAGGGUUGCUGGAGGUAUCAGAAGUGCGAAUGCUGACAUAAGUAACGAUAAAGCGGGUGAAAAGCCCGCUCGCCGGAAGACCAAGGGUUCCUGUCCAACGUUAAUCGGGGCAGGGUGAGUCGACCCCUAAGGCGAGGCCGAAAGGCGUAGUCGAUGGGAAACAGGUUAAUAUUCCUGUACUUGGUGUUACUGCGAAGGGGGGACGGAGAAGGCUAUGUUGGCCGGGCGACGGUUGUCCCGGUUUAAGCGUGUAGGCUGGUUUUCCAGGCAAAUCCGGAAAAUCAAGGCUGAGGCGUGAUGACGAGGCACUACGGUGCUGAAGU
RNAcentral lists this ribosomal RNA (1167 nucleotides) under Escherichia coli. Its description in RNAcentral is "partial 23S ribosomal RNA". It matches the Rfam family "Bacterial large subunit ribosomal RNA", at positions 419 to 1591 of the family's 2925-position model. The record is from RNAcentral. Lineage: Bacteria; Pseudomonadati; Pseudomonadota; Gammaproteobacteria; Enterobacterales; Enterobacteriaceae.